AGUGAACGCUGGCGGCGUGCCUAACACAUGCAAGUCGAACGAUGAUUGGAGAGCUUGCUCUUCAUGAUUAGUGGCGCACGGGUGAGUAACGCAUAGGUAAUGUGCCCCUUAGUCUGGGAUAGCCACUGGAAACGGUGAUUAAUACUAGAUACUCCUUCUUGUCUCAAGGCAAGUCGGGAAAGUUUUUCGCUAAGGGAUCAGCCUAUGUCCUAUCAGCUUGUUGGUGAGGUAACGGCUCACCAAGGCUAUGACGGGUAUCUGGUUUGAGAGGAUGAUCAGACACACUGGAACUGAGACACGGUCCAGACUCCUACGGGAGGCAGCAGUGAGGAAUAUUGCACAAUGGAGGAAACUCUGAUGCAGCAACGCCGCGUGGAGGAUGACGCAUUUCGGUGUGUAAACUCCUUUUAUUAGGGAAGAUUAUGACGGUACCUAAUGAAUAAGCACCGGCUAACUCCGUGCCAGCAGCCGCAGUAA
This 477-nucleotide ribosomal RNA is filed under the name uncultured bacterium. Its description in RNAcentral is "partial 16S ribosomal RNA". It matches the Rfam family "Bacterial small subunit ribosomal RNA", at positions 29 to 523 of the family's 1533-position model. The record is from RNAcentral.